UGUUUUCGGUGAGGGAGCCGAGAGCGCCGAGAAAGAGGAGGAGAAGGAAGGAGGAGGAGGAAGGCUGCUGCUGUGUGGAGGAGCGGCGGCAGCGGCAGCACCUUUGACGUGCCCGUUCCCCACGUGACGGCCGCUCCAUUGCGGGGAGGGAGCCGAGCUGCCGCCGCUCCGGCAGAGCACGGGAGAGCCGCAGCCUCGGCGGCGGCAGCGGCAGCAGCAGCGCCUCCGCCCGCAGUGCGUGUGUGUGCGUGUGUGUGAUGAGCGAUCGCCGCGUCCCUCCGCCCGCUGCCGGCUGAGACCCACCGCGCGGGGCGCGCCAGGAGCAGCAGGAGGAGGCGAGGAGCGGCGGCCAGCGCGCAGUGACCUUGGCCCAGGAGUGCAACAUCCAAAAGCGGAUCAAAUUUGUGGGACAUGGCACAAGGAAAUAAUUAUGGUCAAAGCAGCAAUGGGGUGGCUGAUGAAUCCCCAAACAUGCUGGUGUACAGAAAGAUGGAAGAUGUCAUAGCCCGCAUGCAAGAUGAGAAAAAUGGAAUUCCUAUUCGUACAGUGAAAAGUUUUCUUUCCAAGAUUCCCAGUGUCUUUUCUGGUUCAGAUAUUGUUCAAUGGUUAACGAAGAAUUUAUCGAUAGAAGACCCAGUUGAAGCUCUGCAUUUGGGAACUCUGAUGGCAGCACAUGGCUAUUUCUUUCCAAUCUCAGACCAUGUUCUAACAUUGAAGGAUGAUGGCACCUUUUAUCGAUUCCAGACACCCUAUUUUUGGCCAUCAAAUUGUUGGGAGCCGGAAAACACAGACUAUGCUGUUUACCUCUGCAAGCGGACAAUGCAAAACAAAGCCAGGCUAGAACUAGCAGACUAUGAAGCUGAGAGUUUGGCCAGGCUACAGCGAGCAUUUGCUCGGAAAUGGGAGUUUAUUUUUAUGCAAGCUGAAGCACAAGCAAAGGUUGACAAGAAGAGAGACAAGAUAGAGAGGAAGAUUCUUGACAGUCAGGAGCGGGCAUUUUGGGAUGUGCACCGUCCGGUGCCUGGCUGUGUAAACACGACUGAAGUGGAUAUAAAAAAAUCUUCAAGAAUGAGAAAUCCACAUAAAACAAGAAAGUCUGUCUAUGGCUUACAAAAUGACAUUCGAAGUCACAGCCCUACCCACACGCCAGUACCAGAGACUAAGCCACCCACAGAAGAUGAACUACACCAAGAGAUUAAGCACUGGCAAAUGCAAUUAGACAGACAUAGAUUAAAAAUGUCAAAAGUUGCAGAGAGUCUAUUAGCUUAUACAGAGCAGUAUUUGGAAUAUGAUCCUUUUCUUGUGCCCCCUGAUCCCUCAAACCCUUGGAUAUCAGAUGACACCACUUUCUGGGAACUGGAGACAAGCAAAGAGCCAGGACAGCAGAGGGUGAAACGAUGGGGAUUUGGCAUGGAUGAAGCUUUGAAAGACCCUGUGGGAAGAGAGCAGUUUCUGAAAUUCUUGGAGUCAGAAUUCAGUUCAGAAAAUUUAAGGUUCUGGUUAGCAGUAGAAGACCUGAAGAAGAGGCCUAUCCGUGAAGUUCCUGCUCGUGUCCAAGAAAUCUGGCAAGAAUUUCUUGCUCCAGGUGCACCCAGCGCUAUCAACCUAGAUUCAAAAAGUUAUGACAAAACCACUCAGAAUGUGAAGGAACCUGGAAGAUACACAUUUGAAGAUGCUCAGGAGCACAUUUACAAACUGAUGAAAAGUGAUUCUUAUCCUCGUUUUAUACGAUCCAGUGCCUACCAGGAGCUGCUACAGGCCAAGAAAAAGUUGGAAAACACUCUGGAUCGUCGAACAUCUUUUGAGAAAUUCACACGCAAUGUGGUAAAGGCUUCCUGUAAUAUGCUUUGAAUCCACUGUAAUCAGGAAGAAAUUUGGAUUCAAUGGGACAAAGUCAGUAAAGGACACUAAAAGGGAAAUCGCUCACAUCAAAGAGGUUAACCAGUCUAGUGCAGUCCUACUAAAAGGAUCACCUUGUAGCAUGGAAGCAGACUCAAAUCAUUAUACAUACUUUGUAGCUCACUGAUUGCCUGACUCAGAGGACAGUAGAACAAGAUGUUGCAUGAGCAAGGACCUGACUUGUUUUCUUUUGUGUAUACUAAGGCAUUACAGACUCCGAGGGACUCUCUAGCCUUUCGAUGCCUCCAUUUCGAAAACUGUCUGCUCACUUCCUCCUUCAUAUCAAGCUGGAUCUGUGUCUUUUUAUUUUCUGCAAGCUCAAGUACAGUGAAAAAAAAGCUUCUGCUAGGCACAGUUUAUUAAAAAAAUACGUCAAUCAAAAACUGGAAGAAAUGUAAAAAAUGCAUAUAUUAAUAAAUAUACAUAUGGCAUCACAUUUAUUGCACAAUAAAUUAGCACAGAAGGUUUCAUUUCACUGAUGUAUUCACAUUGAGAAAGAAAGCCUGUGUCUUUGUCUGUUGUCUGUAUAUUCUCUGUUAAUGUUUCUUGCAUUUAUUUUUAUACCAUAUUUAAAAAAAGAACACCUUUUACUUCAGAUGUAUUAAAGUUGAUCCUUUCUCUGUAAAUUUGUGUAUGUUUAUAUUGUUGUUUUAUCUUUCAUUAAAAGAUGCAGAAUCUCUU
Molecule: RNA transcript, 2580 nt
Organism: Corvus hawaiiensis (hawaiian crow)
Lineage: Eukaryota; Metazoa; Chordata; Aves; Passeriformes; Corvidae
Gene: RGS7
Gene name: regulator of G protein signaling 7
Exons: 19
Source: RefSeq, a predicted model, not a curated record